RNAcentral lists this ribosomal RNA (460 nucleotides) under uncultured bacterium. RNAcentral describes it as "partial 16S ribosomal RNA". It matches the Rfam family "Bacterial small subunit ribosomal RNA", at positions 338 to 795 of the family's 1533-position model. The record is from RNAcentral.
CCUACGGGUGGCAGCAGUGAGGAAUAUUGGUCAAUGGCCGCUAGGCUGAACCAGCCAAGUAGCGUGAAGGAUGACUGCCCCAAGGAUUGUAAACUUCUUUUGUAUGGGAAUAAAGUCCAGUAUGUAUACUGCUUUGCAUGUACCUUAUGAAUAAGGAUCGGCUAACUCCGUGCCAGCAGCCGCGGUAAUACGGAGGAUCCGAGCGUUAUCCGGAUUUAUUGGGUUUAAAGGGGGCGUAGGCGGGUUGUUAAGUCAGUUGUGAAAGUUUGCGGCUCAACCGUAGCAUUGCAGUUGAUACUGGCAGCCUUGAGUACAGUAGAGGUAGGCGGAAUUCGUGGUGUAGCGGUGAAAUGCUUAGAUAUCACGAAGAACUCCGAUUGCGAAGGCAGCCUGCUGGACUGUAACUGACGCUGAUGCUCGAAAGUGUGGGUAUCAAACAGGAUUAGAUACCCUUGUAGUC